AAUGAACGUUGGCGGCGUGGAUUAGGCAUGCAAGUCGUACGGGCCGCAAGGCCAGUGGCGCAAGGGUGAGUAAGGCGACGGCAACCAACCCCAUGGUUGGGUAUAGCCGCGGGAAACCGCGGGUAAUCCCCAGCGACGCACGAGACCGGCAUCGGUCUUGUGCCAAAGCUCAGGCGCCGUGGGACGGGCCGUCGUGGUAUUAGGUAGUUGGCGGGGUAACGGCCCACCAAGCCGACGAUGCCUACCGGGCGUGCGAGCGUGGCCCGGCACACUGGGACUGAGACACUGCCCAGACUCCUACGGGAGGCUGCAGUCGAGAAUCUUCGGCAAUGGGCGCAAGCCUGACCGAGCGACGCCGCGUGGAGGAUGAAGGCCUUCGGUUGUAACU
Molecule: ribosomal RNA, 388 nt
Filed under: uncultured bacterium
Lineage: Bacteria
Description: bacterial SSU rRNA
Rfam family: Bacterial small subunit ribosomal RNA
Source: RNAcentral